RNAcentral lists this ribosomal RNA (253 nucleotides) under uncultured bacterium. RNAcentral's name for it is "partial 16S ribosomal RNA". It matches the Rfam family "Bacterial small subunit ribosomal RNA", at positions 524 to 776 of the family's 1533-position model. The record is from RNAcentral.
UACAGAGGGGGCAAGCGUUGUUCGGAAUUACUGGGCGUAAAGGGCGCGUAGGCGGCUGCCUAAGUCAGACGUGAAAUCCCUCGGCUCAACCGGGGAACUGCGUCUGAUACUGGGUGGCUUGAAUUCGGGAGAGGGAUGCGGAAUUCCAGGUGUAGCGGUGAAAUGCGUAGAUAUCUGGAGGAACACCGGUGGCGAAGGCGGCAUCCUGGACCGAGAUUGACGCUGAGGCGCGAAAGCCAGGGGAGCAAACGGG